UACAGGGGGUGCAAACGUUGCUCGGAAUCAUUGGGCGUAAAGCGCACGUAGGCGGUUCGUUAUGUCGGAUGUGAAAGCCCUUGGCUUAACCGAGGAAGUGCAUCCGAAACUGGCGAGCUAGAGUACUAAAGAGGAUCGCGGAAUUCCCGGUGUAGAGGUGAAAUUCGUAGAUAUCGGGAGGAACACCGGGUGGCGAAGGCGGCGAUCUGGGUAGAUACUGACGCUGAGGUGCGAAAGCGUGGGGAGCAAACAGGG
Molecule: ribosomal RNA, 255 nt
Filed under: uncultured bacterium
Lineage: Bacteria
Description: partial 16S ribosomal RNA
Rfam family: Bacterial small subunit ribosomal RNA
Source: RNAcentral